RNAcentral lists this ribosomal RNA (253 nucleotides) under uncultured bacterium. Its description in RNAcentral is "partial 16S ribosomal RNA". It matches the Rfam family "Bacterial small subunit ribosomal RNA", at positions 524 to 776 of the family's 1533-position model. The record is from RNAcentral.
UACGUAGGUGACCAGCGUUGUCCGGAUUUACUGGGCGUAAAGAGCGCGCAGGCGGUCGUUCAAGUCGAGGGUGAAAGCCCCCGGCUCAACUGGGGAGGGUCACUCGAUACUGAUCGACUUGAAGGCAGGAGAGGGAAGCGGAAUUCCCGGUGUAGUGGUGAAAUGCGUAGAUAUCGGGAGGAACACCAGUGGCGAAGGCGGCUUCCUGGCCUGUUCUUGACGCUGAGGCGCGAAAGCUAGGGGAGCAAACGGG